GUUGGAAGCAGAAAGUCACAGCAUCCCUGAGAGCUGCUUCCAUCAGUAGAGCAGUAGUAGAAAGCCGGGACACACCAGUGAUCGUAUUGGAGCAAUAGCAUAGCAAACCUGAAGAGCAAGAAAGGAGAUGAGGCCACCCAGGGACCACAGGAGAGCACAAAUGAGUUUCCGUCUGCCGCCUGUCUCCGUUGCUGAAGCUCACAGAGCCCAAGGGAAGACGACAGAUGAUCAAAAGCCAAUGGCAAAGCAAUAUGGCGGCAUGGACCAAGAAGGCCAAAUGUGAGGCUAUAGCUUUAGGAAGACA
This 304-nucleotide long non-coding RNA is filed under the name Equus caballus (horse). Its description in RNAcentral is "lncRNA (ENSECAG00000045804.1)". The record is from RNAcentral. Lineage: Eukaryota; Metazoa; Chordata; Mammalia; Perissodactyla; Equidae.